AAGCCAGUAUAAUUAAUUGCAUCUGGAUUACCUGAAUGUGUUUUUCAGAAGUAAAAUGCUGGCAAUAGUACAGCCAUGGUACGAGCCUCAAUGACUGAGGUCCUUGAGGUCCCUGAAAAUGGCUACAUUA
This 130-nucleotide small nucleolar RNA is filed under the name Phascolarctos cinereus (koala). RNAcentral describes it as "Small nucleolar RNA SNORA33 (ENSPCIG00000028030.2)". It matches the Rfam family "Small nucleolar RNA SNORA33". Rfam says of the family: ACA33 is a member of the H/ACA class of snoRNA that guide the sites of modification of uridines to pseudouridines. The record is from Rfam by way of RNAcentral. Lineage: Eukaryota; Metazoa; Chordata; Mammalia; Diprotodontia; Phascolarctidae.